CACUGAUUCAACCCUCCGGCUCUGCAAUUAUAUCCAUCAAAUGAAGCAAUGCACCUUCGCUUACUCUCUCCU
Molecule: non-coding RNA, 72 nt
Organism: Biomphalaria pfeifferi
Lineage: Eukaryota; Metazoa; Mollusca; Gastropoda; Planorbidae
Source: the annotation of a GenBank genome assembly